Non-coding RNA from Oryza barthii, 196 nucleotides. Lineage: Eukaryota; Viridiplantae; Streptophyta; Magnoliopsida; Poales; Poaceae. The record is from Rfam.
AAUAAGUGUAGUUUUAUGCUGCUCAUGUGCAACAUUUAACUGUUCGUCUUAUUUGAAAAAAAAUAUGAUUAGUAUUUUUAUGGUUAUUAAAUGAUAAAAACUUUAUGCGUGACAAUUUUUUUUAAUUUUUUCAUAAAAUUUUCAAAUAAAACGGACAGUCAAAUGUUGGAUAUGGAUACCCACAGCUGCACUUAUU